RNAcentral lists this ribosomal RNA (505 nucleotides) under uncultured bacterium. RNAcentral describes it as "partial 16S ribosomal RNA". It matches the Rfam family "Bacterial small subunit ribosomal RNA", at positions 28 to 507 of the family's 1533-position model. The record is from RNAcentral.
GACGAACGCUGGCGGCGUGCCUAAUACAUGCAAGUAGAACGCACAGUUUAUACCGUAGCUUGCUACACCAUAAACUGUGAGUUGCGAACGGGUGAGUAACGCGUAGGUAACCUGCCUGGUAGCGGGGGAUAACUAUUGGAAACGAUAGCUAAUACCGCAUAAUAUUGAUUAUUGCAUGAUAAUUAAUUGAAAGGUGCAAUUGCAUCACUACCAGAUGGACCUGCGUUGUAUUAGCUAGUAGGUGAGGUAACGGCUCACCUAGGCGACGAUACAUAGCCGACCUGAGAGGGUGAUCGGCCACACUGGGACUGAGACACGGCCCAGACUCCUACGGGAGGCAGCAGUAGGGAAUCUUCGGCAAUGGACGAAAGUCUGACCGAGCAACGCCGCGUGAGUGAAGAAGGGUUUCGGAUCGUAAAGCUCUGUUGUAAGAGAAGAACGGGUGUGAGAGUGGAAAGUUCACACUGUGACGGUAUCUUACCAGAAAGGGACGGCUAACUACGUG